CUGUCCCCAGCCACAGACAGCCUGGGGAACUGUUGGAACGAGGGUGCCCACACCAAAUCGCUACCAUCAUACCUUCCGACUGAAACAAUGCUACCUUCCGUCAUCUUACCUUACAUCGGACGUGAUCUCGAGGGGGCUUCCCGCAAUCGACGUAGAUACCUCUGCAGUAGUUUCGGCGCUGAAAGUAAGCAGGCGCUUGGGAAGGGUGUGCGGACUACAGCACUGAUUACAGAGGCACCCACUGCACUAUCGCAAGCGCAAGCAUGUACCAUGGGGCAGUAAAUCGUAAUGUAACGGCUGAAGCAAGCUUAUCCUGGCGUUGGGUGUUUGAAGGCAACGGAGGCAUUUGGUUGCGGCCUAAAAACGUUUGCUGCAACUGUCUCAUCCUCCUACCCUCAGGGCCCAACGCUCUUUGAGCUGCUUUCGUACGGCAAGACCGCGCUAUCGAUAGCAGGUACAGCCUGGCAGGCGGCCGUCGCACCUUUUGCUAUCUUUGGCGUUGACCGCUGGGGUCUCAAUUUUCUUUUCUACUUUGCCGUCUUGCUGAUGACAUUUAAUCUCAUCGUUCAAGCGCCGAAGCAGUAGGAAGCACGCAACCCUGCACACCACAGGCACCGCAACCACGCCCACCCAAGCAGACGACGGGGCAAGACCUGGGUCACGAGAUCUCCCCGUGGACCACUACUAGAAUGUAGUUGGGGCCGCGAAAAGCGGGAGUCAGGCGCCUCGCCUGGACAUUCCUGGACAGUCAGGCGGCAUCCCAGCCAUGAGGCAUCUGAGUCAGAUACAUCCCGGGGCAUACAGCCGAGUUGACCUAUGUUACACGUGGAGGACUGGGCCUUAUGGAAUUCCAACUGGGUCGGGUCGGGCCUACCCCGAACGAAGGUGGCAAAUUUAUGCCCAGCAGGCUUGACUUGCUGCCUUCAUGUAGGCUCGCAAUGACAAGCAGAAGACGAAACACUCCUUUCUGCUACGCUUUGAGUGUGUGCGCUACCAGAUGACAGAUUAGUACGCGGCUUCCAGAGCGCUCUCCUGGAGCUGACGCUACGCGUGGCAG
RNAcentral lists this long non-coding RNA (1057 nucleotides) under Volvox carteri. RNAcentral describes it as "long non-coding RNA (VCAR_LNC002588)". Lineage: Eukaryota; Viridiplantae; Chlorophyta; Chlorophyceae; Chlamydomonadales; Volvocaceae. The record is from RNAcentral.